GCCCUGGCAGUCAGAGGCGAUGAAGGACGUGCUAAUCUGCGAAAAGCGUCGGUAAGGUGAUAUGAACCGUUAUAACCGGCGAUGUCCGAAUGGGGAAACCCAGUGCAAUUCGUUGCACUAUCGUUAACUGAAUACAUAGGUUAACGAGGCGAACCGGGGGAACUGAAACAUCUAAGUACCCCGAGGAAAAGAAAUCAACCGAGAUUCCCCCAGUAGCGGCGAGCGAACGGGGAGCAGCCCAGAGUCUGAAUCAGCUUGUGUG
RNAcentral lists this ribosomal RNA (262 nucleotides) under Acinetobacter baumannii. Its description in RNAcentral is "partial 23S ribosomal RNA". It matches the Rfam family "Bacterial large subunit ribosomal RNA", at positions 31 to 292 of the family's 2925-position model. The record is from RNAcentral. Lineage: Bacteria; Pseudomonadati; Pseudomonadota; Gammaproteobacteria; Moraxellales; Moraxellaceae.